RNAcentral lists this ribosomal RNA (1238 nucleotides) under uncultured marine bacterium. Its description in RNAcentral is "bacterial SSU rRNA". It matches the Rfam family "Bacterial small subunit ribosomal RNA", at positions 141 to 1429 of the family's 1533-position model. The record is from RNAcentral.
GAAUAACACGAGGAAACUUGUGCUAAUACCGGAUAAGUCUUUACGGAGAAAGCUUUAUGCACCAUUGGAUGAGCCCGCACUUGAUUAGUUUGUUGGUGGGGUAAUGGCCUACCAAGACUGUGAUCAAUAGCUGAUUUGAGAGGAUGAUCAGCCACAUUGGGACUGAGACACGGCCCAAACUCCUACGGGAGGCAGCAGUGGGGAAUCUUGCACAAUGGAGGAAACUCUGAUGCAGCGAUGCCGCGUGAGUGAAGAAGGCCCUUGGGUUGUAAAGCUCUUUUGACUGUACCCGAAUAAGAAGGUCCGGCUAACUUCGUGCCAGCAGCCGCGGUAAUACGAAGGGACCUAGCGUAGUUCGGAAUUACUGGGCUUAAAGAGUUCGUAGGUGGUUGAAAAAGUUAGUGGUGAAAUCCCAGAGCUUAACUCUGGAACUGCCAUUAAAACUUUUCAGCUAGAGUAUGAUAGAGGAAAGCAGAAUUUCUAGUGUAGAGGUGAAAUUCGUAGAUAUUAGAAAGAAUACCAAUUGCGAAGGCAGCUUUCUGGAUCAUUACUGACACUGAGGAACGAAAGCAUGGGUAGCGAAGAGGAUUAGAUACCCUCGUAGUCCAUGCCGUAAACGAUGUGUGUUAGACGUUGGAAAUUUAUUUUCAGUGUCGCAGCGAAAGCGAUAAACACACCGCCUGGGGAGUACGACCGCAAGGUUAAAACUCAAAUGAAUUGACGGGGACCCGCACAAGUAGUGGAGCAUGUGGUUUAAUUCGAAGAUACGCGCAGAACCUUACCAACACUUGACAUGUUCGUCGCGACUCUAAGAGAUUAGAGUUUUCGGUUCGGCCGGACGAAACACAGGUGCUGCAUGGCUGUCGUCAGCUCGUGUCGUGAGAUGUUGGGUUAAGUCCCGCAACGAGCGCAACCCUCACUUUUAGUUGCCAUCAUUAAGUUGGGCACUCUGAAAGAACUGCCAGUGAUAAGCUGGAGGAAGGUGGGGAUGACGUCAAGUCCUCAUGGCCCUUACGUGUUGGGCUACACACGUGCUACAAUGGUAUCUACAACAGGAAGCAAGACUGCGAGGUCAAGCAAAUCCUUAAAAGAUACCUCAGUUCGGAUUGCACUCUGCAACUCGAGUGCAUGAAGCUGGAAUUACUAGUAAUCGUGGAUCAGCGUGCCACGGUGAAUGCGUUCCCGGGUCUUGUACACACCGCCCGUCACACCAUGGGAGUUGGUUCUACCUUAAGGCG